UCCCAGCUGUAAACGAUGCAGACUUGGUGUGAGGGUAGCUACGGGCUACCCUCGUGCCGAAGGAAAACCAUUAAGUCUGCCGCCUGGGGAGUACGGCCGCAAGGCUGAAACUUAAAGGAAUUGGCGGGGGAGCACCACAAGGCGUGGACGUUGCGGCUCAAUUGGAGUCAACGCCGGAAACCUUACCGGGGGCGACAGCAGGAUGAUGGCCAGGUUGAAGGCCUUGCCUGACGAGCUGAGAGGAGGUGCAUGGCCGUCGCCAGUGCGUGCCGUGAGGUGUCCUGUCAAUUCAGGCAACGGACGAGAUCCCUAUCCUCAGUUGCUAUCGGGCGCUUACGCGUGCCGAGCACUCUGAGGAGACUGCCGCCGAAA
Molecule: ribosomal RNA, 372 nt
Filed under: uncultured bacterium
Lineage: Bacteria
Description: bacterial SSU rRNA
Rfam family: Archaeal small subunit ribosomal RNA
Source: RNAcentral